AUAAUGCUAAAAAUCCGCAUGGAUGUUUAGUCAAAGAACUUCGGUAUCAGAUGGGCUCGCGUCUAAUUAGCUAGUUGGUGAGAUAAAAGCUCACCAAGGCAACGAUUAGUAACCGGCUUUAGAGAGUGAACGGUCACACUGGAACUGAGACACGGUCCAGACUCCUACGGGAGGCAGCAGUGGGGAAUCUUGCACAAUGGAGGCAACUCUGAUGCAGCGACGUCGCGUGAACGAAGAAGGUAUUCGUAUCGUAAAGUUCUGUCUUGUGGGAAGAUAAUGACGGUACCACAGGAGGAAGCCCCGGCUAACUACGUGCCAGCAGCCGCGGUAAUACGUAGGGGGCAAACGUUGUCCGGAAUUAUUGGGCGUAAAGGGUACGUAGGCGGUUUUCUAUGUCCGGUGUGAAAUUGAUGGGCUCAACCCAUCCAAGCAUUGGAAACUGGAAAACUUGAGUCAUGGAGAGGAAAGUGGAAUUCCUAGUGUAGCGGUGAAAUGCGUAGAGAUUAGGAGGAAUACCAGUGGCGAAGGCGACUUUCUGGACAUGUACUGACGCUGAGGUACGAAAGCGUGGGGAGCAAACAGGAUUAGAUACCCUGGUAGUCCACACUGUAAACGAUGAUAACUCGCUGUCGGCGAUACACAGUCGGUGGCCAAGCGAAAGCAUUAAGUUAUCCACCUGGGGAGUACGACCGCAAGGUUGAAACUCAAAGGAAUUGACGGGGGCCCGCACAAGCGGAGGAACAUGUGGUUUAAUUCGAUGAUACGCGAGGAACCUUACCCGGGCUCGAACGGUGCAUGAAUAUACGAGAGAUUGUAUAGUCCUUCGGGACAUGUAUCGAGGUGCUGCAUGGUUGUCGUCAGCUCGUGCCGUGAGGUGUCGGCUUAAGUGCCAUAACGAGCGCAACCCUUGUCAUUAGUUGCCAUCAGGUCAAGCUGGGGACUUUAAUGAGACUGCCACCGUAAGGUGUGAGGAAGGGGGGGAGGACGUCAAAUCAGCACGGCCCUUAUGUCCGGGGCGACACACGUGUUACAAUGGGAGGUACAGAGGGCAGCUAUCCGGUGACGGAAUGCUAAUCUCCAAAACCUUUCUCAGUUCGGAUUGCAGGCUGCAACUCGCCUGCAUGAAGUCGGAAUCGCUAGUAAUCGCGAGUCAGCAUAUCGCGGUGAAUACGUUCCCGGGUCUUGCACUCACCGCCCGUCA
RNAcentral lists this ribosomal RNA (1201 nucleotides) under uncultured bacterium. RNAcentral's name for it is "partial 16S ribosomal RNA". It matches the Rfam family "Bacterial small subunit ribosomal RNA", at positions 173 to 1399 of the family's 1533-position model. The record is from RNAcentral.